GUGCUCGCUUCAGUAGCACAUACACCAAAACUGGAGCCAUAUACAGGUUAGCAUGGCUCGGCUCCUGCGCAAAAAUGACACUCAAAUUCGUUAAGUGUAACAAACAAAA
Molecule: small nuclear RNA, 109 nt
Filed under: Saimiri boliviensis boliviensis (Bolivian squirrel monkey)
Lineage: Eukaryota; Metazoa; Chordata; Mammalia; Primates; Cebidae
Source: RNAcentral